Molecule: ribosomal RNA, 291 nt
Filed under: Triticum aestivum (bread wheat)
Lineage: Eukaryota; Viridiplantae; Streptophyta; Magnoliopsida; Poales; Poaceae
Description: partial small subunit ribosomal RNA
Source: RNAcentral
AAAGGAAUCACAGAUGCGAUGUCUCGAUUUUGGUGGGGUGAUGAUGCAACUCGCAAGGGGAUGCACUGGUUCACGUGGUGGAAGAUGUGCAUUCCAAAAAAGGAAGAAGGGAUGGGGUUCCGAGAUAUUCACUAUUUUAAUUUGGCAUUGUUGGCUAAACUGGCUUGGAGACUAAUUGAUAAUCCUGAUUAUCUAUCUGCGACGGUUCUAAAGGCAAAAUACUUUGCCAAUGUAGAUCUUAUGGAUGCUACCCUAAUGAAAAAGGCUUUGUAUACUCCCUCCGUUCCUUGA